UAGCUGAAAUGGUAAAAGAACCUGCCUGUGAUGCAGGAGACCAGGGUUCAAUCCCUG
Molecule: transfer RNA, 57 nt
Organism: Ovis aries (sheep)
Lineage: Eukaryota; Metazoa; Chordata; Mammalia; Artiodactyla; Bovidae
Rfam family: tRNA
About the family: Transfer RNA (tRNA) molecules are approximately 80 nucleotides in length. Their secondary structure includes four short double-helical elements and three loops (D, anti-codon, and T loops).
Source: Rfam